ACACGAACCGUACGAACGUUAUUCGGAAUUACUGGGCUUAAAGCGUGCGUAGGCGGCCCGGCAAGUUGGGUGUGAAAUCCCUCGGCUCAACCGAGGAAUAGCGCUCAAAACUACCAGGCUUGAGGGAGAUAGAGGUGAGCGGAACUAAUGGUGGAGCGGUGAAAUGCGUUGAUAUCAUUAGGAACACCAGAGGCGAAGGCGGCUCACUGGGUCUCUUCUGACGCUCAGGCACGAAAGCUAGGGUAGCGAACGGGAUUAGAAACCCCAGUAGUCC
This 274-nucleotide ribosomal RNA is filed under the name uncultured bacterium. RNAcentral describes it as "partial 16S ribosomal RNA". It matches the Rfam family "Bacterial small subunit ribosomal RNA", at positions 523 to 796 of the family's 1533-position model. The record is from RNAcentral.